RNAcentral lists this ribosomal RNA (492 nucleotides) under uncultured bacterium. RNAcentral's name for it is "partial 16S ribosomal RNA". It matches the Rfam family "Bacterial small subunit ribosomal RNA", at positions 29 to 507 of the family's 1533-position model. The record is from RNAcentral.
AGUGAACGCUGGCGGUAGGCCUAACACAUGCAAGUCGAACGGCAGCACAGUAAGAGCUUGCUCUUACGGGUGGCGAGUGGCGGACGGGUGAGGAAUACAUCGGAAUCUACUUUUUCGUGGGGGAUAACGUAGGGAAACUUACGCUAAUACCGCAUACGACCUACGGGUGAAAGCAGGGGAUCUUCGGACCUUGCGCGAUUGAAUGAGCCGAUGUCGGAUUAGCUAGUUGGCGGGGUAAAGGCCCACCAAGGCGACGAUCCGUAGCUGGUCUGAGAGGAUGAUCGGCCACACUGGAACUGAGACACGGUCAAGGCUCCUACGGGAGGCAGCAGUGGGGAAUAUUGGACAAUGGGCGCAAGCCUGAUCCAGCCAUACCGCGUGGGUGAAGAAGGCCUUCGGGUUGUAAAGCCCUUUUGUUGGGAAAGAAACGCAGCAGGUUAAUACCCCGCUGUUCUGACGGUACCCAAAGAAUAAGCACCGGCUAACUUCGUG